This 253-nucleotide ribosomal RNA is filed under the name uncultured bacterium. RNAcentral's name for it is "partial 16S ribosomal RNA". It matches the Rfam family "Bacterial small subunit ribosomal RNA", at positions 524 to 776 of the family's 1533-position model. The record is from RNAcentral.
UACGAAGGGGGCUAGCGUUGUUCGGAAUUACUGGGCGUAAAGGGCGCGUAGGCUGUGCUGUAAGUCAGGCGUGAAAUCCCCGGGCUCAACCUGGGAAUUGCGCAUGAUACUGCGGCGCUUGAAGACGGGAGAGGAUGGCGGAAUUCUUAGUGUAGAGGUGAAAUGCGUAGAUAUUGGGAAGAACACCGGUGGCGAAGGCGGCCUUCUGGACAGUGACUGACGCUGAGACGCGAAAGCGUGGGGAGCAAACAGG